This is a long non-coding RNA of Passer domesticus (house sparrow), 2638 nucleotides long. RefSeq lists it as uncharacterized. The transcript is spliced from 2 exons. Lineage: Eukaryota; Metazoa; Chordata; Aves; Passeriformes; Passeridae. The record is from RefSeq and is a predicted model, not a curated record.
UGUGGCUGUACCGAGCCUGGACGCUUGAUGUCACUGCAGGACCGGGGACGCGGAGGAGCGGAGCCAGCACGGAGCCUCAUCCGCAGGGACCCCCGCCUCCGCAGCGAGACGCAGCCGGAACGGGGUCUGAGAUGCCGGCGCUGCCUGCAAGUAACGGGGAGGUGCAAUGUAUCUUUCUCUCUUGGAACUGAUGAAUUCCAGGACGUGGAAAAUACAACAAAACCAGCCUUGCUGCAGAAAGAAUCUUUGCAAUUACAAUUUUAAGAUACUGGGUUUUUAGGUCCCGAAGCCUUUUACAGAGCUUGCUCAGCAAAUUGUACUGUGAGAUGGGAAAAGAGUCCAGAAGUCUUCUAGAGCCUCUGAUGUUUUUCCUAGCACUUGACAUACAUGUGGGAAGCAGAAGAAAGGCCAAGACAACCUAUAAAGAGACAAAGGAAUGCUUUGAUUAUCGGACAAGCAAGAGAUGUCAAUAUAUGACAGUCUGAUAAAAUACAAAUAUCAAUGCAAAUUGCAAAAUAUAUGCAUGAAUUAGCAAAUUUUUCUUUUUGUCUUUAGCUGAGCACAUUCUUUUAAUCUCUCCUCCUCUACCCAUCCUUAUCUCUUUGUUAUCAAGUAAAAUUUAUGUUUGUACCACAGUUAAGCACUUCUGAAGCAUUUUAAAUGCUGGUAUUUCAAGGUGUCUAGUGGUUUUGUUUCACCAAUUUUACUAGAGGAUCUUUCCCUUUUUUAAAAAUCGGAUUUCAGAGACAAAGGGAAACUCUAUGUUGCACAAAGGUAAAACAGUAAGCCUAUGACAAAGAGUUGCAAAUAACCAUACAGCUCUGAAUUCUGAUGAGCCCAGAAAUUACAUGAUUUUUUUCCACUAAGCAUACUAGAAGUAAGCAUCCAGACAUUUUUCUUUAACAAAAAAGUACUUGAGCAAGGUCAUACCGAGGUCGAAAAGCAAGCUUAUUUAAUGUGGAAACUGGAGCAGCCUGCUCUGCGUGUUCAGAAUACAUAAACAUUCCAGAAAGUGGCAAAUUCAUACAGCCUCUCUGUGUAACAGCUACCUAGAGUGCCAUGCUUUUUCCUGUUUUCAUUCUUUUUUUUUUAUUCACAAACAGUCUCAAGAUCAAAUUUACUGUGCUAAUGUUAAAAAUUUUAUCUAAAUAGAUACAUUUGCCAAGGCCUUUUUAUUUCUAAGGAUGACAUCAGUGACAACUGCUAUGGAUUUUUGUCAGUCUUGAAGGAGUUGGAGUGUUUCUGAUUUUUUCUUGGUGAGUCCAUUUGUAAAUCCAUCUACCACUGCCAUUGUGAUCAAACAAAUUAUCAAAAUAAUGUGAUCAUUAUUUGGCUACGGUAAUUUUCUCCACAGGAUAUUCACCCCCCUCAUUUCUGUUCUCCACACUUUCUUCCACUUCCAAAUCUAUCCUUUUACUGACCUUUCCAUCUUCCAGUUAUUCUUCUGGCUAUUAAAUGUAUUUUUCAAAAGUUUCAGCACAGUCUUCCUCAGAUCUACCUAUCAGAUGUCCUUGCUUACCUUUUAUUUCUAGUUUCCCUUAUUUUUUUCAGUUAUUCUUUGGGUCCAUUAAAGGUUUUUUGGGUGUUGUGUCUCUCCCACUCGCCCUCUCCUCCACACCCCAAAGUUUUCCAUAGUUCUGUAAGACAAAGUCUCCUUUUUUUCAGAAAACACAAAUCCCUUCCAAUACAGGUUUUAUCAGUCAAUUUUUUCUUUGCCACAUGACUGCAUCAAACACUAAAUGAGAAAAGUAUCCAGGCAAGAGAACCAAACAAUAUGUGGAUGAAAUAACAGGAAACAUGAAUUGUCCAAUAUAUUGCAUAAAUUUGGAGUUGUAAAGUCUUUUCCUCUUCCUUGGUUCUACCUACUUUUUUCAUCUGGGAGACAUAAAAUUGGAUCACAAAUUCUUCCUGGUAGAGGGGGUGUCUUUUAUUUGUGCUUUAAUGCACCGAUCACAGCAUGUAAAGAACCACAUGAUUAAACAUAUAAAAUUUCCUUUUUCUUUUAAAUAAACUUUGAAAAGAAUAAUGAAUAACAUCAAAUUAUAUUUUAGCUUCCAGUUUUCAACUGGUAGUAAAAGCCCAUCUAUUGACUUUGCUUUCCUCACCUUUAGACUUAUCUAUAAAUGUCUUUGUGUUGUAACAUUUGCCAUUGAUUUUGGACAUUUCAGAAAUCUUUUUGUAGUAGAUAGACUUUAGUAUAUUGUUGUUGCAAUACAGAACAUGUGUAACAAAUUUUGUUUUUAGCAAAAUGAAACUGAAAUGUUAAAAAAUGAACAUGACUUUUCACCAGUUGAUUCAUGCCCCUUAUUCUUAAGAAGGCUAUGUAGAGAAGUGUUAAAAAGCAACUUGUUUCACUACUGCCUUGCUGUCAGUAAGAUCUACAGUUGAAGAUAAUGGGACAUGAUCGUUUCUGCCAUAAAGCAGCACUUAGCCAUUGUGUAACUGGGUGCACAUCAAAUCUGACUGAGCUCUCCCCACGCACAGAGCGGGGAGAAUGGGUCCGUGGGAUGACUCUGACCACUGGUGGCAACAGUAAUUUGCUUUCUGUAAUCCUUCAAUUUUCUCUACUUUUUAUCUUUCCUCCUUGCUCUCUUUCUUAAGAGUAAAUAAAAGUGAAUUAUUAUUUUGGUUACCAACA